UUGCCUUACUGACAGAAUGUCAAUAAAGUCACAUAAAAUAUCUCAUUACAAUAACAUCCAACAAAAUAUCAAUCAAGAUACAAUAAUAGAUGCAUGUCAUUGAUUUUGUACAAAAUAUCCAGUUGACAAUACAACAUAAACGCUUACAAAAUGAUAGCCAAACGGUGCAUUAUUUUGCACCUUACACAAACUAUCUAGUUGACGCAAACUAUCUCCAUAGUUCCUUCCUGGUCUUUUAUGUCUUUCCUACAAAGGGUAAACAAUCAUUCAGUAAAUUCAUGCAUUCAUAGUCAAUGGCAGAAACAAAACAAAGCAUCAGCUCAGUCUGCACAACGAAAUACAUCAGCUCAAUAAUUUAGCUAAACUCACUACAGAAGAAAGCGAGCUGGCAAUCAAUCAUUAAGCAUCUACUAGUUGCUACUUAAGGUCGUAAAUUUGCACAAUUCAGGUCAUCUGUAAUGCCCACCCUACUUGUACAGGCGUGAAUGCAAAACUAUUACCUCCCAGGGAAACCAUGUAUGUUAUAUGUUAGUAGGAUUAGAAACUCGAUUGUAUUCUCAGUUCAGAGAUACGCAAGUGAUCCUGUUCAGUCCAUCAAAGCACAUAUUAACAAAAUGCAUCCUAAGAUGAAGGUUUUGCAUUUCUUACAAGUUGCUAUGUAACACAGCUUGAACCUGACCCUAACUCUAUUGGAUGAUCUAAACCUAGUUGUAUAUAUGACAAUUAUUACUCUAUGGGAAACUACACAUGUAGUUUUUGCUAUAUGAUUUGAGAGUAGCAUCGUUCUGUUCAUCUCUAAAAUUUUCAUAUAAUUAAUACAAGAAUGCAAAUAUAAUAUUCAUAUACUACAGCAAUGCUAUAAGGCUGAAGCAUAAAAUCUAAAAGUGGGUAACUGUACUUCUCUUUCGCUUGCUGAAAAUUACAAAAGUCGGACAUUAUCACUAAAAAUGAUUUUAUUAGUUCUUGUCUCCCCCACCAAAAAAAUAAAAAGGCUAUUGUUGAGUGAAUGUUUUGCAUGGACCUUUGGACACCGUCGCUACCAUAUAUUUAUCAAAGUGAAUCCAGACAUAUUAAUCAUUUUAGCGGUACGUUCUAAUUUCUUCAAUCAAUAGAUGAAUGUAAGCAAACAGUUCUAGCUAAGUGACAGAAAUUACCUAAGUGGCGGGAUGAGGAAGACGUCCCUGUUCAGAUAAGAUUCACCUGCUAUGUUGUUCCCCACACACAGAAUUCAUUUUGCCUUUCAGAUUGAUUGUAACCAGAUCUUACUUCUGGGAAAUAAUAGAACAUGAUGUUACGAUAUGAUUUAACAAGGGAAC
This 1316-nucleotide long non-coding RNA is filed under the name Triticum aestivum (bread wheat). Its description in RNAcentral is "long non-coding RNA (TAES_LNC014149)". Lineage: Eukaryota; Viridiplantae; Streptophyta; Magnoliopsida; Poales; Poaceae. The record is from RNAcentral.